This 301-nucleotide ribosomal RNA is filed under the name uncultured bacterium. RNAcentral's name for it is "partial 16S ribosomal RNA". It matches the Rfam family "Bacterial small subunit ribosomal RNA", at positions 509 to 809 of the family's 1533-position model. The record is from RNAcentral.
CAGUCGCCACGGUAAUACGUAGGUGGCAAGCGUUGUCCGGAAUUAUUGGGCGUAGAGCGCGCGCAGGCGGAUCAGUUAGUCUGUCUUAAAAGUUCGGGGCUUAACCCCGUGAGGGGAUGGAAACUGCUGAUCUAGAGUAUCGGAGAGGAAAGUGGAAUUCCUAGUGUAGCGGUGAAAUGCGUAGAUAUUAGGAAGAACACCAGUGGCGAAGGCGACUUUCUGGACGAAAACUGACGCUGAGGCGCGAAAGCCAGGGGAGCGAACGGGAUUAGAUACCCGCGUAGUCCCUGUCUCUUAUACA